UACGUAGGGUGCGAGCGUUAAUCGGAAUUACUGGGCGUAAAGUGUGCGCAGGCGGCCGAGCAAGUCGAGUGUGAAAGCCCCGAGCUUAACUUGGGAACUGCGCUCGAAACUACUUGGCUAGAGUGUGGCAGAGGGAGGUGGAAUUCCACGUGUAGCGGUGAAAUGCGUAGAGAUGUGGAGGAACACCGAUGGCGAAGGCAGCCUCCUGGGCCAACACUGACGCUCAGGCACGAAAGCGUGGGGAGCAAACAGG
RNAcentral lists this ribosomal RNA (253 nucleotides) under uncultured bacterium. RNAcentral describes it as "partial 16S ribosomal RNA". It matches the Rfam family "Bacterial small subunit ribosomal RNA", at positions 524 to 776 of the family's 1533-position model. The record is from RNAcentral.